Molecule: ribosomal RNA, 384 nt
Filed under: uncultured bacterium
Lineage: Bacteria
Description: bacterial SSU rRNA
Rfam family: Bacterial small subunit ribosomal RNA
Source: RNAcentral
AGCAGUGGGGAAUCUUGCGCAAUGGGCGAAAGCCUGACGCAGCCAUGCCGCGUGUAUGAUGAAGGUCUUAGGAUUGUAAAAUACUUUCACCGGUGAAGAUAAUGACUGUAGCCGGAGAAGAAGCCCCGGCUAACUUCGUGCCAGCAGCCGCGGUAAUACGAAGGGGGCUAGCGUUGCUCGGAAUUACUGGGCGUAAAGGGAGCGUAGGCGGACAUUUAAGUCAGGGGUGAAAUCCCAGAGCUCAACUCUGGAACUGCCUUUGAUACUGGAUGUCUUGAGUGUGAGAGAGGUAUGUGGAACUCCGAGUGUAGAGGUGAAAUUCGUAGAUAUUCGGAAGAACACCAGUGGCGAAGGCGACAUACUGGCUCAUUACUGACGCUGAGG